This 443-nucleotide ribosomal RNA is filed under the name uncultured bacterium. Its description in RNAcentral is "partial 16S ribosomal RNA". It matches the Rfam family "Bacterial small subunit ribosomal RNA", at positions 338 to 795 of the family's 1533-position model. The record is from RNAcentral.
CCUACGGGAGGCAGCAGUGGGGAAUAUUGGGCAAUGGAGGUAACUCUGACCCAGCAACGCCGCGUGAAUGAUGACGGUCUUCGGAUUGUAAAGUUCUUUUCUAAGGGAAGAAGAAAGUGACGGUACCUUAGGAAUAAGCCUCGGCUAACUACGUGCCAGCAGCCGCGGCAAUACGUAGGAGGCAAGCGUUAUCCCGAAUGACUGGGGGUAAAGGGUGCGUAGGUGGUUUGACAAGUUCGUAGCGCAACUCCGGGGCUCAACGUCGGAACUACUGCUGAAACUGGUGGACUUGAGUGCGGGAGGAGUAUGCGGAAUGCGUGGUGUAGCGGUGGAAUGCGUAGAUAUUAGGAAGAACUCCAAUGGCGAAGGCAGCAUGCUAGACUGUAACUGACACUGAGGCACGAAAGCGUGGGGAGCGAACAGGAUUAGAUACCCUUGUAGUC